GGGGUUUUUUAUUUAUGCAAAUCGGGUUCAGAUUAUGCGUUCUAUGUGCGGCUCCCGCUUUGUGACGUCACAGUGCAAGCUUGCAGUAUUUAUUGCCCGCUGCCGUACAGUUCACCUGUCAGUGUAAAGUCGUCACGCCGCUGCCAUAAGAAAAUGGCGGAUUUCACAGAUCAGACCUUUUUACCUUUGAUGAACCUCUGGAUAUAAGUGACAAUAAUCAUUUAUAAGCGGACCCCAGUGGAGCCAAAGUGUUGGAGGGUCCAGACGCAGCCAAAGGCCCAGAAGUCCAUGUUGGAGCCAACAUCCCUCGCCCCGAAAGACCAAGGCAGAGCCAUAGAGACGAAUGACACCAGCAGAGCCAGAGGAAUCACAGAGUCAUCAUCUUGUUCAUGUGCAUUUUAUUAUUUUGGAUUAUUUUGCGUGUAUAUUUGGCUCAUAUAGGAGUGAGGUAGUUCUCCUUCUCAUGUUUCAGUCAUUGUAUUUUCAUAUUUGCAUAUAUCUCCACAUAUUUUUCUGCUUUCCAGCGUCUCCUUCAUGUGCACUUUCUUAUUUUAGAUUUUUUUUUGUGUGUCAUCUUUGACUCACUUCGGAGUAAUAUAGUUCUUCCUCUUAUCUUUGAGUCAUCAGUGUUUUAUACUUACAUCUUUGCAUCAUCUCCUUAAAUUUCUUGUCUUCUUGUUUUUUUUUUUACAUCAUCUUUGGCUCACAUCAGGCUGAGAUAUUUCUCCCUCUAAUGUUUGAGUCUUGCGUAUUUAUGAAUCGUGUAAUUUCCAAAUAUUCAGCAUCUCCUCAUCUGAAUCUCGUUCAAGCAGUUUUUUAUUUUGAAUUUUCUCAUGUCAUCUUUGGCUCAUAUCGGAUGACUCAUGUUGAGUCAUCAUACUUGGGGUUUUCUACUUUUCAACAUUUUCUUCAUGUGCAUAUUCCUAUUUUGAAUUUUUCUUGCGUCAUAUUUGGCUCACAUCAGGGUGAGAUAUUUUUCCCAAUCAUGUUCGAAUCUUAUAAUUGUGUUUCCCUUUCAUAGGUCACUUCGA
Molecule: long non-coding RNA, 1031 nt
Organism: Cyprinus carpio carpio
Lineage: Eukaryota; Metazoa; Chordata; Actinopteri; Cypriniformes; Cyprinidae
Source: Ensembl